UAACGCAGGUCCAUUCCAGGUACUAGGUGACUCUGAGUGGUGCAAUAUCUCAGAGCUGCCUGGUGCCUGAACAUGGAUCUCGAUA
Molecule: microRNA precursor, 85 nt
Filed under: Plutella xylostella (diamondback moth)
Lineage: Eukaryota; Metazoa; Arthropoda; Insecta; Lepidoptera; Plutellidae
Description: microRNA pxy-mir-306 precursor (pxy-mir-306-1)
Gene: pxy-mir-306-1
Rfam family: mir-306 microRNA precursor family
Source: miRBase by way of RNAcentral